RNAcentral lists this ribosomal RNA (579 nucleotides) under uncultured bacterium. RNAcentral describes it as "partial 16S ribosomal RNA". It matches the Rfam family "Bacterial small subunit ribosomal RNA", at positions 355 to 1376 of the family's 1533-position model. The record is from RNAcentral.
UAAGGAAUAUUGGUCAAUGGACGCAAGUCUGAACCAGCCAUGCCGCGUGAAGGAUUAAGGUCCUCUGGAUUGUAAACUUCUUUUAUCUGGGACGAAAAAAGGCGAUUCUUCGUCACUUGACGGUACCAGAUGAAUAAGCACCGGCUAACUCCGUGCCAGCAGCCGCGGUAAUACGGAGGGUGCAAGCGUUAUCCGGAUUCACUGGGUUUAAAGGGUGCGUAGGCGGGCAGGUAAGUCAGUGGUGAAAUCCUAGAGCUUAACUCUAGAACUGCCAUUGAUACUAUCUGUCUUGAAUAUUGUGGAGGUAAGCGGAAUAUGUCAUGUAGCGGUGAAAUGCUUAGAUAUGACAUAGAACACCUAUUGCGAAGGCAGCUUACUACGCAUAUAUUGACGCUGAGGCACGAAAGCGUGGGGAUCAAACAGGAUUAGAUACCCUGGUAGUCCACGCCCUAAACGAUGAUUACUCGACAUCUGUGAUACACUAUAAGUGUCUGAGCGAAAGCAUUAAGUAAUCCACCUAGGAAGUACGACCGCAAGGUUGAAACUCAAAUGAAUUGACGGGGUCAUAGCUGUUUCCUG